GAUACCAGCCUGGGCAACAUGGCAAAACCCCAUAUUUACCAAAAUAGAUAGAAAAAUUAUCUGGGCAUAGUGGCAUGGUUCAUUAUAAUUACUCUCAGCAAAAUAGAAAUAGAGGGGAACUUCCUCAACUUGAUGAAUAACAUGUUUUUAAGACCUACAGCUAAUAUCAUACUUAAUGGUGAGAAAUUAGAUACUCUUCUAAGAUUGAGGAAAAGGCAAGGUUGUUUCCUUUCUUCACUCUUGUCAACAUCAUAAUGAUAACCACCUGAAGCUAGCAUAAUUUUGCUGAUCCUUGGGUCCCAUCCUUUGUUAGGGACAUCUUGGUUAAGGGAUGAAAAGCAGUAGCUCUUCACGCACUCCAUCGCAUGUAUUUUAUGUCCAGUAACUCCCCUAGUCUUAUAGAGUGUACCUUGUUAAAUUUAGCGGGAUGACCAGGUAUUACUGUUAUUUGAGCCCCAGUAUUGAUAAAGGCCAUGAUGUUUUGCCAUUGGUACCUUUCAGCAGAUGUUAAGAUUAAUUCGCAACCUAUGUCAGUAAGGUAUAGAAGCCAAUGAGCAACCAUUUAUAUUUUAGUA
Molecule: long non-coding RNA, 575 nt
Filed under: Homo sapiens (human)
Lineage: Eukaryota; Metazoa; Chordata; Mammalia; Primates; Hominidae
Description: non-protein coding lnc-CELF2-10:1
Source: RNAcentral